Non-coding RNA from Salmo salar (Atlantic salmon), 1325 nucleotides. Lineage: Eukaryota; Metazoa; Chordata; Actinopteri; Salmoniformes; Salmonidae. The record is from RefSeq and is a predicted model, not a curated record.
UUGAAGAGGGGCUGCUGAGGCACACAGAGUCCCUGUGCAGAGCCCUGGAUGGGGAGCUGGACCUCAGUGAGACCAGGCUGGACCAGAAGGCCUGUGGAUCUCUGGCCCUGGUUCUGGAACACUCAGAGGGUCUGUCAGAACUGGACCUCAGCCACUGUCAACUCACAGACCACCACCUACAGCCCCUGAUCACACACCUGCAUAAAGUACAAGUCCUGGACCUGAGUCACAAUGACAUCACUGAUGCUCUGACUGACAGAAUACUCCAACUGGUCUCUACCAACACUUCAAUACACACCGUACGACUCUUCAACAACAGAAUCCAGGACAGAAGACCCUUCCUGACAGACAAGAGGUUUGACAUCUGGUGAAACAACAUCAGGUCUUAGUCCAGGAAGAGAAGGCUGAAUCCAGGACAGAAGACCUUUCCUGACAGACAAGAGGUUUGACAUCUGGUGAAACACAUCAGGUCUUAGUCCAGGAAGAGAAGGCUGAAUCCAGGACAGAAGACCUUUCCUGACAGACAAGAGGUUUGAGAUCUGGUGAAACAUCAGGUCUUAGUCCAGGAAGAGAAGGCUGAAUCCAGGACAGAAGACCCUUCCUGACAGACAAGAGGUUUGAGAUCUGGUGAAACAACAUCAGGUCUUAGUCCAGGAAGAGAAGGCUGAAUCCAGGACAGAAGACCCUUCCUGACAGACAAGAGGUUUGACAUCUGGUGAAACAACAUCAGGUCUUAGUCCAGGAAGAGAAGGCUGAAUCCAGGACAGAAGACCCUUCCUGACAGACAAGAGGUUUGACAUCUGGUGAAACAACAUCAGGUCUUAGUCCAGGAAGAGAAGGCUGAAUCCAGGACAGAAGACCCUUCCUGACAGACAAGAGGUUUGAGAUCUGGUGAAGAUAAUGUCGUAUAAUGACAGUAUAAUGUGGAACAUAAACUGAUGGAACAUUUUAAUACAAAACACACACAAAAAAACAGUUGUUACAGCUGGAACAGUCCAAUCAUGUAUAAAUACUGUGUUAUCAACAGAACUGGUUGUUACAGCUGGAACAGUCCAAUCAUGUAUAAACUACUGUGUUAUCAACAGACUCAUUAACCUUUAUGGGCUAGGUGGGACGCUUGCGUCCCACCUACGCAACAGCCAGUUGAAUCCUGUGGCGCGUUAUUCAAAUACCUUAGAUAUGCUAUUACUUCAAUUUUUAAAAAAUAUGACUAUUUUACACCAUUUUAAAGAUAAGACUCUCGUUAAUCUAACCACACUGUCCGAUUUCAAAAAGGCUUUACAACGAAAGCAAAACAUUAGAUUAUGUCAGCAGAGUACCCAGCC